GAACAGCAACAACAAAGACCACUAAAGUCAGAACUCAUCUCCAUCCCUCCCACUGUCUCAGUGUAAGGGGCUCCCCACCACUGGCCACCUUCUGUGGACUGAAAACACUUAGCAUUCAACAUUUCUGGGAUUUUAGGAGUGAAUAUCUGGAGCAUUUGGGACGGUUCAGGAAUUUCCCAGGCCAAAUGGAUGAUGUAGUAUUCUGUCCCAUAACAUCCAGGCCCAUUCUCCAUAUGAGAGGACUGACUGUCUUCACAAGAGGUUCCAGAGACCGGUACACCAAGUGGACCAGAGACUUCUAUGACCACACUGAUCUUGAAAAGCUGGGAUCCACACUGCAUCAAGGUCACAGAAAGUGGGCCCUAACUGAUGAGCCAUCUUAGCCAUGACCAAGAAGGGAAGACUGAUUGUUCCCUGGAUUUACUAGUGUGCUUUCUAAUAGGAAGAAACUUCAGCUUGCUUUGAACUUAGCUUUUCCAGGGCUAAAUGUUUUGGGGAAACUGAGUUGAAUCCUCCCUCACCCCUGAUGGUGAGUGAACUAAAAACAUCUUCCCCACUUUGUAAACUAAGCAUCCUACACCCCCAUUCCCUCUCCCACCUGUGGUGCUGAACAGGAGCCGCCCAUGACUCCCUGGACCAAGAGCCCGAGGAUGCCUCCCGGCCAAGACUUCAUCUAUCUCAUCCCCAGAAGACCUUAUUUCCAUUUCCAUUUCCAUCGGAGGGUUAUCUCAGAAAACAUUAACUGAAUCCUACUUGCCAUCACAAGCACCUCUUCGGCAAAGCCCACCUCCCUCUCUCGCUUGAUUCCCCGGCCAUCCUUAUCAAAGACCUUCCAGGUGAACAGGCAGCCAUCCUCAGCAGCAGUCAGCAGGAACUGAUCAUCAAAGAAACUUGCAAAAAUAGCACAGAGAGAGUGGACUUCUGGAAUGGCACGGCAACAAAAUUCCCUACGGCAGCACCCAAAGGCUUGAAAUUAGCCAUUCCAAGUGUGUCCAAAAAACUAAAGGAAACCAUGAUUAAACAAGUAAAGGUAGAAAUGAUAUGCAUCAAAUAGAGAAGAAUAAAAGGAUCCCAUCAAUAUAGGGAUAGAACUGUAAGAAAAUAGAAAUUCUAGAGUUAAAAACUACAAUAACUGAAAUGAAAAAUCCACUAGAGGUGCUCAAGAAUAGAUCUGAACUGGCAGAAGAAUUAGUGAACUUUAUAGAUCAAAAAAGAUUAGCAAUUUGAAGAACAGAGAGGAAAAAGAAUUAGAAAUUUACAGAGCCUCAGAAAAAUGUGGGACACCAUUAAGCACACCAACUAAUGCAUAAGGUGAAUGCUAGAAGGAGAGGAGAAAGAGAAAGGAACAGAAAAAACAUUUUCAUAAAUAAUUGCUGAAAAUAUUAUAAAUUUAUUGGGAAACACCAGUGUACACAUAUAGGAAGCUCAAUGAACUCCAAGUAGGAAAAACACAAAGAGUUCCACAAACAGACACAUUUUGGCAAAAAUAAUGAAAGCUAAAGAUGAGAAGAAAAUUUUGAAAGCAUCAAUAGAAAAAUGACUGAUCACUUACAAAAGAGUCCCAAUAAGAUUAAUAGCAGAUAUCUCAGCAACAACAACGGAAGCCAGAAGAGAAUGGGAUAACAUGUUCAAAGUGCUUAAAGAAAAAGCUGUCAAACAAAAAUCCUGCAAAGCUAUCUUUUAGAACUAAAGGUGAAAAAAAAUUACCAAAAAAACUGAAAAAAUAUGUUGCUAGCAGAUAUGACUUACAGAAAAUACUAAAGGAAAUCCUUUAGGUUGAAAGCAAGUUACUCCAGAUAGUAAUUCAAAUCCACACAAAACAAAGAGCACUGGUAAAGCCAGUAGACAAGAUUUGACUCUGGAGGUGACGUCUGAGCCAAUAGGUAUUUGGAGUCUGGAGAAAAAGCCAUGCUAAUAAAUUUC
RNAcentral lists this long non-coding RNA (1923 nucleotides) under Homo sapiens (human). RNAcentral's name for it is "HSALNT0291816". The record is from RNAcentral. Lineage: Eukaryota; Metazoa; Chordata; Mammalia; Primates; Hominidae.